AUCGCUUCUCGGCCUUUUGGCUAAGAUCAAGUGUAGUAUCUGUUCUUAUCAGAUGUCAAGGAAAUAAACAAAAGCCUGGAACGGAGUGAUCCGUUUUGCAUUGCUUUCUAUGGGAAAGCAGCGCGCCUUGGUUUUGGAACGCUUUGGUUUUGGAACGGAUUAAGUUUGAGAGCCAAGGUACCACUG
Non-coding RNA from Podarcis lilfordi (Lilford's wall lizard), 186 nucleotides. NCBI's taxonomy places the organism in Eukaryota, Metazoa, Chordata, Lepidosauria, Squamata, Lacertidae. The record is from the annotation of a GenBank genome assembly.